RNAcentral lists this ribosomal RNA (253 nucleotides) under uncultured bacterium. RNAcentral describes it as "partial 16S ribosomal RNA". It matches the Rfam family "Bacterial small subunit ribosomal RNA", at positions 524 to 776 of the family's 1533-position model. The record is from RNAcentral.
UACGUAGGGCGCAAGCGUUGUCCGGAAUUAUUGGGCGUAAAGAGCUCGUAGGCGGUUUGUCGCGUCUGUCGUGAAAGCUUGGGGCUUAACCCCAAGUCUGCGGUGGAUACGGGCAGACUAGAGGCAGGUAGGGGAGAACGGAAUUCCCGGUGUAGCGGUGAAAUGCGCAGAUAUCGGGAGGAACACCGGUGGCGAAGGCGGUUCUCUGGGCCGAUACUGACGCUGAGGAGCGAAAGCGUGGGGAGCGAACAGG